Molecule: ribosomal RNA, 497 nt
Filed under: uncultured bacterium
Lineage: Bacteria
Description: partial 16S ribosomal RNA
Rfam family: Bacterial small subunit ribosomal RNA
Source: RNAcentral
GAUGAACGCUGGCGGCGUGCCUAAUACAUGCCAGUCGAGCGAACGGACGAGAAGCUUGCUUCUCUGAUGUUAGCGGCGGACGGGUGAGUAACACGUGGAUAACCUACCUAUAAGACUGGGAUAACUUCGGGAAACCGGAGCUAAUACCGGAUAAUAUUUUGAACCGCAUGGUUCAAAAGUGAAAGACGGUCUUGCUGUCACUUAUAGAUGGAUCCGCGCUGCAUUAGCUAGUUGGUAAGGUAACGGCUUACCAAGGCAACGAUGCAUAGCCGACCUGAGAGGGUGAUCGGCCACACUAGAACUGAGACACGGUCCAGACUCCUACGGGAGGCAGCAGUAGGGAAUCUUCCGCAAUGGGCGAAAGCCUGACGGAGCAACGCCGCGUGAGUGAUUAAGGUCUUCGGAUCGUAAAACUCUGUUAUUAGGGAAGAACAUAUGUGUAAGUAACUGUGCACAUCUUGACGGUACCUAAUCAGAAAGCCACGGCUAACUACGUG